AAAAGGGCGGGGUCAAUGCCAACGACACAAGGCUCUGAUUGGAUGCUGGGGCGCCCCGCCUCCGCUCUUGGGUAGGUCCACAUUCCUUCCAGCACCCGCCCUACCCCCCUCAACCCCACCCCCCGCCCCCACUACUCCAGCAGCUGUGGUUGGUCAGCUCGCCAGCCUCUAGUCUUGUCCUAACUUGUCAUUGGCAACUUUCUAGCGGCCUGUGUUGAUCAGCUGCCAGAGUACCCUCUCUCCCCGCGGCGACUGAUCCCCACAGAGGCGCAGCUAAGCAAAGGCAGCUUUGGGGUGUCCACACACGCUGGCAGGCCCACUUCCCCUGGUGCCCUCGGGAAAAGGGGCGAAUGAGGGACUCACCUGGGGCUCCCUCCGCCUGCAGCCCCUCCAUCCGCUCUUGCAGCUGCUUGAUGUGCGCCUCCAGGUCUCGGUUCCUGGCCUCGGCCUCACGGAGUUGACUGAGGGGAAGUAAGAACCAUGAGCCCUUUGGGAUCUCGGAGAGAAGCUGCU
Phyllostomus discolor (pale spear-nosed bat) is the source of this 513-nucleotide long non-coding RNA. RefSeq lists it as uncharacterized. The record is from RefSeq and is a predicted model, not a curated record. The transcript is spliced from 2 exons. Lineage: Eukaryota; Metazoa; Chordata; Mammalia; Chiroptera; Phyllostomidae.